RNAcentral lists this long non-coding RNA (325 nucleotides) under Ictidomys tridecemlineatus (thirteen-lined ground squirrel). RNAcentral's name for it is "lncRNA (ENSSTOG00000034405.1)". Lineage: Eukaryota; Metazoa; Chordata; Mammalia; Rodentia; Sciuridae. The record is from RNAcentral.
GGCUGCUCUCUGCAGACACUGAACUUCACUGCUGCCAGAGCCACCGUGAGGUGCUCGUCUCAGACCUGGCUUCCCCGGACAGAGGCAGGCCCCGCUGCAGCAGCUCCAGACAGUACACCACCUGAGCCUUCACGCACCUACAGUAGUUCUUGGACCAUUUCAUUCCCAACCAGAAUGUGAACAACCUGUGGACCAACUUGUCACUGCACUGUCCUGUCCCGUGAGGAGGGGAAGACCUGCUAGGCUCUGCACCUCCUGCUUCUGCCUCCUGGGAAGAAGAGCCGCAACACGAGCCCCCGGGCUGCUUGGUAUUGGCACAAUCUGA